RNAcentral lists this ribosomal RNA (684 nucleotides) under Salmonella enterica subsp. enterica serovar Goldcoast. Its description in RNAcentral is "partial 23S ribosomal RNA". It matches the Rfam family "Bacterial large subunit ribosomal RNA", at positions 526 to 1211 of the family's 2925-position model. Lineage: Bacteria; Pseudomonadati; Pseudomonadota; Gammaproteobacteria; Enterobacterales; Enterobacteriaceae. The record is from RNAcentral.
CCGGCGAGGGGAGUGAAAAAGAACCUGAAACCGUGUACGUACAAGCAGUGGGAGCACCCUUUGGGGUGUGACUGCGUACCUUUUGUAUAAUGGGUCAGCGACUUAUAUUCUGUAGCAAGGUUAACCGAAUAGGGGAGCCGCAGGGAAACCGAGUCUUAAUUGGGCGUUAAGUUGCAGGGUAUAGACCCGAAACCCGGUGAUCUAGCCAUGGGCAGGUUGAAGGUUGGGUAACACUAACUGGAGGACCGAACCGACUAAUGUUGAAAAAUUAGCGGAUGACCUGUGGCUGGGGGUGAAAGGCCAAUCAAACCGGGAGAUAGCUGGUUCUCCCCGAAAGCUAUUUAGGUAGCGCCUCGUGAAUUCAUCUCCGGGGGUAGAGCACUGUUUCGGCUAGGGGGCCAUCCCGGCUUACCAACCCGAUGCAAACUGCGAAUACCGGAGAAUGUUAUCACGGGAGACACACGGCGGGUGCUAACGUCCGUCGUGAAGAGGGAAACAACCCAGACCGCCAGCUAAGGUCCCAAAGUCAUGGUUAAGUGGGAAACGAUGUGGGAAGGCCCAGACAGCCAGGAUGUUGGCUUAGAAGCAGCCAUCAUUUAAAGAAAGCGUAAUAGCUCACUGGUCGAGUCGGCCUGCGCGGAAGAUGUAACGGGGCUAAACCAUGCACCGAAGCUGCGGCAGCGA